This 597-nucleotide ribosomal RNA is filed under the name Pleosporales sp. STAF226. RNAcentral describes it as "eukaryotic LSU rRNA". The stretch from base 230 to 383 matches the Rfam family "5.8S ribosomal RNA". Lineage: Eukaryota; Fungi; Ascomycota; Dothideomycetes; Pleosporales. The record is from RNAcentral.
UCCGUAGGUGAACCUGCGGAAGGAUCAUUACCUUUGGCUGCCGUGAGCGCUUCGGCGUGAGCGACGGUCAUUCUAGCGAGGCCUCCGUUCCGGGCAACCGGCGCGGGGCUGACCUAACCCUUCUCUACGAGUACCUAACAAUUCUCCUUCGGCGGGGUCUACCCGCCGCUGGACUUCAAGAACCAACUUGCAUUUAGCAUUACCUGUUCUGAUAACAAUUAAUUAUUACAACUUUCAACAAUGGAUCUCUUGGCUCUGGCAUCGAUGAAGAACGCAGCGAAAUGCGAUAAGUAGUGUGAAUUGCAGAAUUCAGUGAAUCAUCGAAUCUUUGAACGCACAUUGCGCCCCUUGGUAUUCCAUGGGGCAUGCCUGUUCGAGCGUCAUCUACACCCUCAAGCACUGCUUGGUGUUGGGCGUCUGUCCCGCCUUCGCGCGUGGACUCGCCCCAAAGUCAUUGGCAGCGGUCUCUGGCACCUCAACGCGCAGUACAAUGCGUUCAUUGGGGUGCCGUGGGCGCGUCCACUAAGCUUUUACCGUCUUUGACCUCGGAUCAGGUAGGGAUACCCGCUGAACUUAAGCAUAUCAAUAAGCGGAGGA